GACGAACGCUGGCGGCGUGCUUAAUACAUGCAAGUCGACUGAACUUAAGGUAGCAAUAUUUUAAGGGAGGUGGCGCACGGGUGAGUAACACGUAGGUAAUCUGCCUUUAGGACUGACAUAACCCAGAGAAAUCUGGGCUAAUAUCAGAUGAUGCAGCGGCUCGACAUCGAGACAGUUGUUAAACCUUCGGGGCCUAGAGAUGAGCCUGCGUCUGAUUAGGUAGUUGGCGGGGUAAUGGCCCACCAAGCCAUCGAUCAGUAGCUGGUCUGAGAGGAUGAUCAGCCACACUGGAACUGAGACACGGUCCAGACUCCUACGGGAGGCAGCAGUGGGGAAUUUUGCGCAAUGGACGAAAGUCUGAUCCAGCCAUGCCGCGUGAGUGAUGAAGGCCUUAGGGUUGUAAAGCUCUUUUGUCGGGGACGAUAAUGACGGUACCCGAAGAAUAAGCUCCGGCUAACUUCGUGCCAGCAGCCGCGGU
Molecule: ribosomal RNA, 478 nt
Filed under: uncultured bacterium
Lineage: Bacteria
Description: bacterial SSU rRNA
Rfam family: Bacterial small subunit ribosomal RNA
Source: RNAcentral